Molecule: ribosomal RNA, 383 nt
Filed under: uncultured eukaryote
Lineage: Eukaryota
Description: partial 18S ribosomal RNA
Rfam family: Eukaryotic small subunit ribosomal RNA
Source: RNAcentral
CAAUAGCGUAUAUUAAAGUUGUUGCAGUUAAAAAGCUCGUAGUUGGAUUUCUGGUGGGAGCGAUCGGUCUGGCGCUUAGCGCGAGUACUUGCAUCGUCUCCGGCCAUCCUUGGGGAGAGUCUGUCUGGCAUUAGGUUGUCGGGCAGAGGAUCCUCAUCGUUUAUUGUGCAAAAAUUAGAGUGUUCAAAGCAGGCUUAUGCCGUUGAAUAUAUUAGCAUGGAAUAAUAAGAUAGGACUUUGGUACUAUUUUGUUGGUUUGCGCACCAAAGUAAUGAUUAAUAGGGACAGUUGGGGGUAUUCGUAUUCCGUUGUCAGAGGUGAAAUUCUUGGAUUUACGGAAGACGAACUACUGCGAAAGCAUUUACCAAGGAUGUUUUCAUUAA